RNAcentral lists this ribosomal RNA (702 nucleotides) under Lichtheimia ramosa. RNAcentral describes it as "partial large subunit ribosomal RNA". It matches the Rfam family "Eukaryotic large subunit ribosomal RNA", at positions 65 to 673 of the family's 3401-position model. The record is from RNAcentral. Lineage: Eukaryota; Fungi; Mucoromycota; Mucoromycetes; Mucorales; Lichtheimiaceae.
AUUUCAUGCAUUCCCUAGUACGGCGAGUGAAGAGGGAAAAGCUCAAAGUUGGAACCUGGCUGCCCUAGGCAGUCCGGAUUGUAAACUAAAGAGCGUGAUUCCAGGCAAGCCGGUUGACCAAGUCCUUUGGAAUGAGGCGCCACUGAGGGUGAGAGCCCCGUAAGUCGACUGAGCAUUUGUCUUUUGUGCUUCGCGUUCAAAGAGUCAGGUUGUUUGGGAAUGCAGCCUAAAGCUGGUGGUAAAUCCCACCUAAAGCUAAAUACAGGCGAGAGACCGAUAGCGAACAAGUACCGUGAGGGAAAGAUGAAAAGAACUUUGAAAAGAGAGUUAAACAGUAUGUGAAAUUGCCAAGAGGGAAGCAUUUGGAGUUAGAUUGACUAGGAGUUAAUCAGCUUGGUCUUUGGACUGGGUGUACUUGACUUCUUACAGUCUGCCAAUAGCAGUUAGUCCUAGUGGAAAAAACCAGAGGGAAGGUAGUCCUUCGGGAUGUUUAUAGACCUUUGGAAAAUACACUGGGAUUGACUGAGGAAUGCAGUAGAUGCCACUAAGGCUUCGUCUAGUGGGUGCUAGGCAAAGGUACUUGGUAUUUUCAGCUUGCUGAUGUGCUAGGUUACUCGAGUCUAGUCGCCUACUAGAACUGUAAUCUACUUUGGUUAUUGGCUUAAUGACUCUAAUGGCCCGUCUUGAACACCGGACCAAAAG